UUCUCUCCUCUUUCUUCUUUUUUAUUCUUCUCUCUUCUCUUUCUUCUUUCUUCUUUCUUCUUUCUUCUUACUUCUUCUUCUUUCUUUCCCCGUCUCUUCUGUCUCUCAUCUUCUUCUUGAAAAAUAGCAACCUGUAAAGUGCUUCUCUCUGCUCUCUUCCCAGAAUCUGAAUUAAACUCGGCCUUGGAUCUCUCUUUUACUUCAAAGGUUGCAGAUCCGAGGUUGCUUCUUCCUUCACCACAAUCACUCUUCCAUCACUGUGUGUGGUAUGGAGACUGGAGAGACCCAUAACCAUGUGGGUCGAAAAGUU
Molecule: long non-coding RNA, 310 nt
Organism: Rosa chinensis
Lineage: Eukaryota; Viridiplantae; Streptophyta; Magnoliopsida; Rosales; Rosaceae
Exons: 2
Source: RefSeq, a predicted model, not a curated record